Molecule: ribosomal RNA, 166 nt
Filed under: Agrostis meyenii
Lineage: Eukaryota; Viridiplantae; Streptophyta; Magnoliopsida; Poales; Poaceae
Description: 5.8S ribosomal RNA
Rfam family: 5.8S ribosomal RNA
About the family: 5.8S ribosomal RNA (5.8S rRNA) is a component of the large subunit of the eukaryotic ribosome. It is transcribed by RNA polymerase I as part of the 45S precursor that also contains 18S and 28S rRNA. Functionally, it is thought that 5.8S rRNA may be involved in ribosome translocation.
Source: RNAcentral
UCUCGGCAACGGAUAUCUCGGCUCUCGCAUCAUCGAUGAAGCAGCGAAAUGCGAUACCUGGUGUGAAUUGCAGAAUCCCGCGAACCAUCGAGUCUUUGAACGCAAGUUGCGCCCGAGGCCAUUCGGCUGAGGGCACGCCUGCCUGGGCGUCACGCAAAACACGCUC